UGAGCAACCUGCCCCUGGCUCUGGGAUAACUCCGGGAAACCGGAGCUAAUACCGGAUACGAGACCGAUUGGCAUCUUUACGGUCUGGAAAGUUUUUCGGCCAGGGAUGGGCUCGCGGCCUAUCAGCUUGUUGGUGGGGUAACGGCCCACCAAGGCGGCGACGGGUAGCCGGCCUGAGAGGGCGACCUGCCACACUGGGACUGAGACACGGCCCAGACUCCUACGGGAGGCA
RNAcentral lists this ribosomal RNA (231 nucleotides) under uncultured bacterium. RNAcentral describes it as "partial 16S ribosomal RNA". It matches the Rfam family "Bacterial small subunit ribosomal RNA", at positions 118 to 350 of the family's 1533-position model. The record is from RNAcentral.